This 731-nucleotide unclassified non-coding RNA is filed under the name Hevea brasiliensis (rubber tree). Lineage: Eukaryota; Viridiplantae; Streptophyta; Magnoliopsida; Malpighiales; Euphorbiaceae. The record is from RNAcentral.
GCAAGAUUUUGCAGGAAAAAAUAAGGCGGUCCCUCCCUUCCUCUCUCUACUUCUCUGGGAGAGAAGAAACCACCAGCACCAGGAACCAAUAAUGGAGGUGCCUCAGCCUCAUCAGGAUCAACGCUCUAGAUCUUCCAGACCCCUCACCAUUCAUGCCUUGGCUCACUCUGGAGAUCUUCUUUCCUUUCAGAAGCUGCUGCGAGCUAAUCCUUCUCUUCUCGAUGAAAGAAAUCCUGUUGUAUAAUAAGAUCCUAUUCUUUUUUCAAAUCUUAUAUUACAUUUUCCAGCAAUUCAUUCUUUUUUUUCCUUUGCUUUGUUUUGUUGUUGAUUUUCUGUAAAUUUGGCUUCUGUCGUCGAUGAAUUUGGAUCCAUUUCUCAAAUUUCUUCAUUGUUUGAUUGUGCUUGCCCAACAAUUUCUUGCCAAUUAUUGAUUGGUUUGCUUCUUUUUUUUUUCCUCCUUUAGUUCUUCUCUGACAUUGAAAAUGAAAUACGAUGGUGAAUUAUUAUUCUUUGAGAUAUAAUGCAGUUGGAUUUAGACUUCAACGGAGAGAGAAUUAGCGAGUAGAGGCUUUCUCUUUUAAUGUUGGUUUUUAUUUCAUAUUACUUGGGUUAUGGAAAAUCUGGACUUUGGUACAUUCAGGAUAAGCUUAUGUCCUUCAUCGGGUAGAUGGAUUGCGACAAGGCUAGUUAAUAAGGGACUGAAGGGGGGAGAAUAUUUUGUAGAAGUGCAU